UACAGAGGGUGCAAGCGUUAAUCGGAAUUACUGGGCGUAAAGGGUGCGUAGGUGGUUUUUUAAGUCAGAUGUGAAAUCCCUGGGCUCAACCUGGGAACUGCAUUUGAUACUGGAAGACUCGAGUGUGGUAGAGGGUAGUGGAAUUCCGCAUGUAGCGGUGAAAUGCGUAGAGAUGCGGAGGAACACCAGUGGCGAAGGCGGCUACCUGGACCAACACUGACACUGAGGCACGAAAGCGUGGGGAUCAAACAGG
This 253-nucleotide ribosomal RNA is filed under the name uncultured bacterium. RNAcentral's name for it is "partial 16S ribosomal RNA". It matches the Rfam family "Bacterial small subunit ribosomal RNA", at positions 524 to 776 of the family's 1533-position model. The record is from RNAcentral.